This 384-nucleotide unclassified non-coding RNA is filed under the name Hevea brasiliensis (rubber tree). Lineage: Eukaryota; Viridiplantae; Streptophyta; Magnoliopsida; Malpighiales; Euphorbiaceae. The record is from RNAcentral.
GCAAAGCUUCCAUUCCAUUGAAAUAAACUAUACAUAAAUCAAUCAGGGUAGUGAGGCGUUGAAGUUGAUCUGGCAGAUACUUUAUUCUACUUCUCCAACCUCCAUUUAUAGUUAAGGAUUCAAGGGAUGACAGGUCUUGGAUUGAAUUUAGAUAAGAGAAAGAAUCCGACUCCUCCGAGAAUUUACCAAUUGUUAAACUCCUCAAUCGGGUGAGCCCACCUAAUAUGGUCUCUGGAAAUAAACUCAGACUCGGACAAAAUGUUAUUUGCAAUUCAUUAAGAGAAAACAAUUCGCCUAAAUAUUGGGAAACAGAUGCCAGCCCUUCACAUCCAGAUAUUUUCAAUGAUUCCAGAGAAGCAGAGGAUUUCAGCCCACUUGGAAGAC